RNAcentral lists this ribosomal RNA (1197 nucleotides) under uncultured Hyphomonas sp. RNAcentral's name for it is "bacterial SSU rRNA". It matches the Rfam family "Bacterial small subunit ribosomal RNA", at positions 8 to 1280 of the family's 1533-position model. The record is from RNAcentral. Lineage: Bacteria; Pseudomonadati; Pseudomonadota; Alphaproteobacteria; Hyphomonadales; Hyphomonadaceae.
AGGGUUUGAUCCUGGCUCAGAACGAACGCUGGCGGCAGGCUUAACACAUGCAAGUCGAACGAUAUAGUGGCAGACGGGUGAGUAACGCGCGGAAACGUGCCUUUCACUACGGAAUAGCUUUUGGAAACGAAAGGUAAUACCGUAUACGCCCUCCGGGGGAAAGAUUUAUCGGUGAAAGAUCGGUCCGCGUUAGAUUAGCUAGUUGGUGAGGUAAGAGCUCACCAAGGCGACGAUCUAUAGCUGGUCUGAGAGGAUGAUCAGCCACACUGGGACUGAGACACGGCCCAGACUCCUACGGGAGGCAGCAGUGGGGAAUAUUGCACAAUGGGCGCAAGCCUGAUGCAGCCAUGCCGCGUGAAUGAUGAAGGCCUUAGGGUUGUAAAAUUCUUUCGCCAAGGAUGAUAAUGACAGUACUUGGUAAAGAAGCCCCGGCUAACUUCGUGCAGCAGCCGCGGUAAUACGAAGGGGGCUAGCGUUGUUCGGAAUUACUGGGCGUAAAGCGCACGUAGGCGGAUUUUUAAGUCAGAUGUGAAAUCCCAAGGCUCAACCUUGGAACUGCAUUUGAAACUGGGAAUCUAGAGAUCAGGAGAGGUUAGUGGAAUACCGAGUGUAGAGGUGAAAUUCGUAGAUAUUCGGUGGAACACCUGUGGCGAAGGCGACUAACUGGACUGAUACUGACGCUGAGGUGCGAAAGUGUGGGGAGCAAACAGGAUUAGAUACCCUGGUAGUCCACACCGUAAACGAUGAGAGCUAGUUGUCUGCAGGCAUGCCUGUAGGUGACGCAGCUAACGCAUUAAGCUCUCCGCCUGGGGAGUACGGCCGCAAGGUUAAAACUCAAAGAAAUUGACGGGGGCCCGCACAAGCGGUGGAGCAUGUGGUUUAAUUCGAAGCAACGCGCAGAACCUUACCUACGCUUGACAUGCCUGGACGACUCCGAGAGAUCGGUUUCUCCCUUCGGGGCCAGUGCACAGGUGCUGCAUGGCUGUCUUCAGCUCGUGUCGUGAAAAUGUUGGGUUAAGUCCCGCAACGAAGGGCAACCCUCAUCCUUAGUUGCCAUCCCGUUUGGGUGGCACUCUAGGGAAACUGCCGGUGCUAAACCGGAAGUAAGCGGAGAAAGACGUCAAGUCCUCAUGGCCCUUACCGGUAGGGCUACCACCGGGCUCCAAUGGGCGGUGGCAAUGGGGAUAAUCCCCCAAA